Molecule: long non-coding RNA, 1731 nt
Organism: Vespa crabro (European hornet)
Lineage: Eukaryota; Metazoa; Arthropoda; Insecta; Hymenoptera; Vespidae
Exons: 3
Source: RefSeq, a predicted model, not a curated record
UUUUGCUGCUUCCAAGAGAGGAGCUUCCAAGCAAAACGCGUGGUCCACCUCCGAGUUAUUUCUUUUUCUACACCGGUACCUCAGCUCUCUCUUUCUCUCUCUUUCUCUCUCUUUCUUUCUCUCCUUUCUCUCUUUCUUUCUCUCCUUUCUCUCUCUCUCUCUCUCUCUCUCUCUCUCUUUCUCUUUUUCUCUCUUUCUCUCUCUUUCUCCCUCUCUUUCUUUUUCUCUUUCUCUCUUUCUUCUUCUUUCUUUGCCUUUCUCUAUCAUUCUGCACCCCCUUCGUUGUACCCACCUCCACUUACUUCUCCACCUCUUCCAUCUAUACUGCCUAGACGGCACAAAUUAUUACCCGUCGCAGGUGCAUUUUUUCCAAUUCUCUUUUCUUUCAUCCGAACGUUCGCCUCUCAUUCUCUCUCUCUCUCUCUCUCCCUCUCUCUCUUCUUCUUCUUCUUCUCUCUUCGCGUUUCUCCAACGUCCAUCGCGCAACAAGAAGUUAUGAAAUCUCAAAGGAACGGCUAUUCGUUUCGUGCAAUUGACAGCAACGAGAAUAUGGCCGCCUGAACUUCUAUACUGUAUAAGUCUACUCUUGAACGUUAUUUGUGAACGAAUCGAAGAAGAAACUAUGUAAACUGUUUUUUCGUCAAAUAUAACAAAGUUAACUACAACGAUGUAUUUAAGUUCUAACGACUCAUAAAUCGAAUAGUAACUUAACAUAUCAUAGAUUUAUCAUAGAAUUUUAAUAUAAUGACAGUUAAUGUUCAUUCUUGAAUUCUUGUGGUCACAAUUGCGGAUGGUUCUACACUUUUCAUCUUAUGCCGAAUAACGGAUUUUCGGACCAGGAAUUGAAUCAUACGCUCAAGGUGAAGAUGUCUUACGAUCGCAAACGUUUCUGAUUCGUUCGUCGACGGUGGUCGAGCUACCGAACAUCGAGUUUAAUGCAGAUUAAGGUGUGCAAGGGGGUUUGGAAAGUCCUUUGUAGAACGCUUUUCGUUCGGUAUUAGCUGGAAGUAGCUCGUAGAACCGUGGUAUUACCUGGAAUUACGUCUCAAUCUACCGUGGCCGUCGACUAAACUAAUAUUAAAACUUUUAACGUAGUUAGAGAGAGAGAGCGCGGCCCGUGGUUGCUUUACCGUCCGUGAAGCUCCGCGUUCUCUCCCCUCUCUUCCCCCUUCCUCUUUUAGCUCCAUCAGUUUCUCCCUCUUCCAUGUCUCUCCUGCAAGCUGCGUCUCUCUCUCUCUCUCUCUCUCUCUCUCUCUUUUACUCUUGAAGCAUGUGUGAGUGUGGGCUGCAUUGACCGGUACUGAACUUUGAUGUGUUUCCUGUGCAAAAUUCACCUCCGAAGUCAUAAAUUAGCAGCGGAGACCGAUGCGUUUCUCUUUGCUUUCUUCGAAAGUUGCACGAUGGACGAACUAUUGGAGGACGAUGAAAAGCAGAAAUGAAAAUUCAGUCUCAUCCGCGAGACCAAUACACAUAUAUCUUGCAAGUUACAGAACCAGAAUUUUCAAUGAAGUUUGGACAAGACUCUUCACCCUCACCAAAGUUUUACUUUAUCGACUACGAAAGUAAACUUCGAUUAGGAAGAACGACGCUCUGUGAACUUUUACUUCAGAACCUUAGUCUACUUCGAUCAGCUUGGAGAAACUAUUGAAGAUUUGCAAUUUGACAUUGUAAUCAUCGGUUAAAAAUAAACGAUUAUCAAGAUAUUAUUAAAAACUCGUUGCUAUAAGAAAA